RNAcentral lists this long non-coding RNA (458 nucleotides) under Sus scrofa (pig). Its description in RNAcentral is "lncRNA (ENSSSCG00025044113.1)". Lineage: Eukaryota; Metazoa; Chordata; Mammalia; Artiodactyla; Suidae. The record is from RNAcentral.
CUCUUUGCGCUUCCAUCUCUUUCUUACUAACUCCAGAAGCCUGCGAGUCUCCUUAUGCUUCUCUGCCCCACGUAUUCAGGGGUCUGCGAGAGCCUCUGAAGGGGGUGGAGAGUGGUCACCUCAGAAGGCAUUUAUGAAGGAAACAAAAGCUCCCCAGGGCAAGAUCUCAGUGAUGCAUUCUCCUCCUGGAAUGGCCACAAUGAAGAAAUGAAGAAAUUCUAAAAAAUGGAAUUUCAAGGGGAAGAAAGAUGUGAUUUGGAGAAGUAUUUCUGCUGUUCCCCAGCUGUUUGAAACAUGUUGUGGCUUUGACUUCUUCCAACCACCUCCUGUGAUGAAGAUUACCUUAAUUGCUUGUUUGUGGAACAUUCAGUCAGAGACAGAAUAUGCUGUAACAAUUACCAAUAGAUGACGGCUGACAUUUUACAUUCCUUGUUAUUCUAUUAGCAGGUUCUUAUGGC